UGCCCACAAAAUGCUGAAUUGAAUGAGCA
This 29-nucleotide non-coding RNA is filed under the name Homo sapiens (human). The record is from RNAcentral. Lineage: Eukaryota; Metazoa; Chordata; Mammalia; Primates; Hominidae.